UGGGGAAUUUUGGGCAAUGGGCGAAAGCCUGACCCAGCAACGCCGCGUGAAGGAUGAAGUAUUUCGGUAUGUAAACUUCGAAAGAAUAGGAAGAAUAAAUGACGGUACUAUUUAUAAGGUCCGGCUAACUACGUGCCAGCAGCCGCGGUAAUACGUAGGGACCAAGCGUUGUUCGGAUUUACUGGGCGUAAAGCGCGCGUAGGUGGUUUGUUAAGUUGGAUGUGAAAGCCCCGGGCUCAACCUGGGAACUGCAUCCAAAACUGGCAAGCUAGAGUACGGUAGAGGGUGGUGGAAUUUCAGGUGUAGCGGUGAAAUGCGUAGAUAUCUGAAGGAACACCAGUGGCGAAGGCGGCUUCCUGGACCAAUACUGACACUGAGACGCGAAAGCGUGGGGAGCAAACAGGAUUAGAUACCCCCGUAGUCCCUGAGCGGGCUGGCAAGGCGCAU
RNAcentral lists this ribosomal RNA (447 nucleotides) under uncultured bacterium. RNAcentral's name for it is "bacterial SSU rRNA". It matches the Rfam family "Bacterial small subunit ribosomal RNA", at positions 355 to 825 of the family's 1533-position model. The record is from RNAcentral.